RNAcentral lists this long non-coding RNA (13030 nucleotides) under Medicago truncatula (barrel medic). RNAcentral describes it as "long non-coding RNA (MTRU_LNC002206)". The stretch from base 9843 to 10042 matches the Rfam family "MIR2619 microRNA precursor family". Lineage: Eukaryota; Viridiplantae; Streptophyta; Magnoliopsida; Fabales; Fabaceae. The record is from RNAcentral.
UGGGAAAGCUUUGAUCAUCCCACAGACACCUUGCUUCCAUAUCUAAAGAUAGGGUUUAAUAGAAAAACUAAUCAAAGCUGGUUCCUUCAAUCCUGGAAGACAGAUGAUGACCCUGGAAAAGGUGCGUUCACGGUGGAAUUCAGCACCAUUGGUAAACCUCAGUUGUUUAUGUACAACCAUAACCUUCCAUGGUGGCGUGCUGGACAUUGGAAUGGAGAACUGUUUGCAGGUGUACCUAAUAUGAAACGAGAUAUGGAAACUUUUAACGUUUCUUUUGUGGAAGAUGAAAACUCCGUAGCAAUCUCAUAUAACAUGUUUGAUAAGUCUGUCAUCGCUAGGAAAGUUGUUAAUCAAUCUGGUUUCUUUCAAAUAUUCACGUGGGGGAAUGAAAAGAAUCAAUGGAACCGGUUCUAUUCAGAACCAACAGACCAAUGUGAUAACUAUGGAACAUGUGGAUCAAACAGUAAUUGUGACCCUUUUAACUUUGACGACUUUAAGUGCACUUGUUUACUUGGUUUUGAACCAAAAUUUCCACGUGAUUGGUAUGAGAGUAGAGAUGGGUCGGGAGGGUGUGUAAGGAAGAAAGGUGCAUCUAUUUGUGGGAAUGGAGAAGGGUUUAUAAAAGUUGUAAGUGUGAAAGUUGCUGAUAUAUCUGGAGCAGUUGCCAUAGAUGGUUUGAGUUUGGAAGAAUGUGAGAAAGAAUGCUUGAGAAAUUGCUCUUGUACUGCCUAUGCAGUUGCUGAUGUGAGGAAUGGUGGUAGUGGAUGUUUGGCAUGGCAUGGGGAUUUAAUGGACAUUCAAAAACUUAGUAGUGAUCAAGGCCAAGAUUUAUUUUUACGCGUCGAUAAAGUUGAACUAGGUAAGAUAUCCCCUCCUACUGUUUUUUUCUUCUAAAUUUGACAGCACUUAUGUAUAGUUUAAACUUAUUUGGACUUGUAUCUUUAUAUCAGCUAAUUACAACAAAAAAAGCAAAGGAGCACUUGACAAAAAGAGGUUGGCUGCAAUUCUGGUAGCUUCUAUUGUUGCAAUUGUCAUCCUCCUCUCCUGUGUAAAUUACAUGUGGAAGAAAAAAACAAAGGGUAUGCGAUUUUUUUUUUAACAAGCCAAAAUGAAUUAUAUUAAUAAUAAAAAGUGUUUCUCAUAACACAAGAUGUAAUUUGGCUCUGACUUAUAAAAUGUGUCAUAUCAAGUAAGAAAGAAAUACACCACAUAUUGACUCAUGUAUCAUAAUUCUAAAGCAUUAGCAUUACAAGUCUUGCUACUCUUACCUAAAUAGUACCAAGUAAUUUUUCCCUGUCACAAGCCACAUUCACAUAUGUUUUACAGCAACUGUUGAUAUUAACCAUUGUUUUCCAUUUCUAAAAUUAACAAACAAUGUUUUUGUGUUGCUAUGAUUGUACUGCUACAACCUUGAGAGUCACCACAACAACAAUUCACCACUGCCGCAGAGCAGCAACCCGCAUGUUCCUCCAUUACAAACUCACUUCAACAUCAGAAAAGCCUAAAUAUCAUUAAAAAUCAGCAGUUAGAGCCAAAAGGUUAUUUGCAAAACAGCCUCAAUUUAUGCCAAAUUCUUUUGUCAUUUGGAUAUAAUGUGUGUGCCAAUCCAGACUAAGUAUUUUAUUAGCAGUUCGAACCAAGUUUUGUUAAGUUUUGGUCUAUCAAUGUUAGACAAACAAUCACUCCAAAUUUCCUUAUCAACUGCUAAUAAUGUUUUAAUUGAAUAUUAUUAUUAGUAUUAUUGUUUCUAGGGUUAAUGGUGCUUUACCCCCUGUAAUAUAGGUCAUUUUUAGUUUUCCCCCUGUAAAAUUUUUUUUUUUUAUUUACCCCCCUGUAAAAUAUCUUUAUUUUUUUUUUGCAGAAUUUUUUCGUUUUUUUAUGACCUAUUAGGGAGGUAUUCCAAAAAAAAAAAAAUUUUACAGAGGUGUAAAUCAAAAAAUAUAUUUUACAGGGGAAAAACCAAAAAUGACCUAUAUUACAGGGGGUAAAGCACCAUUAACCCUUAUUUCUAUUAUUACUAUUGAGCUAUCAUUGUGCAAAACUAGCAAAAUGUAUAAUCUAAGAUUUUUUAUCUUACCUCAUGUCAUUUGUAACUUUAGAUAAAAUGAUGCGGCAAAUAAACCAUGACUCCUCAGUAGAAGAGAAUGGUGCUCCAAACAACAGACAUCCAAAUCUACCCUUUUUCAGCUUUAAAACGAUAAUGACAGCUACAAAAAAUUGUGAUCAUAAGAAUAAGCUUGGACAAGGUGGAUUUGGCUCUGUCUACAAGGUGAGUGAAACUCUACAUUAAGCUACUGAUGCAAGAAGUGACAACAUCAGUCACCUCUUUAUAUUCAUUUCAAUCACAUUAUUAAAAAAUGGUGCAAAAAUAAUGAAAUAUGAUUUAAGAGAUAAAUAUUUCAGGGUUGCUUGGUUAAUGGACAAGAGAUUGCAGUUAAAAGAUUGUCCAGAGAUUCUGGUCAAGGCAAAGUAGAGUUUAAAAAUGAAAUUACACUUUUAGUUAAACUCCAACACAGAAAUCUAGUGAGGUUGCUCGGUUGUUGCUUUGAAAAAGAAGAAAGGAUGUUAGUUUAUGAAUACCUACCAAACAAAAGCCUAGACUUCUUUAUAUUCGGUAUGUCUCUCUCUGACUCACUCAUUGUCUUUCUGACCUGAAUAAACUUGUAUGUAUACAAGCCUAAAGCGUAGUGACUUAAUGUAACAUGUAACGCUCGAGCUUAUGCUAAUUCUGGCUUAUAGAUACUUAAUGUAACCUAUUUCCUAAAAAAAACUCCUAAAUGCAACAAAUUCAAACUUCACAUAAUUGUAAACAAUUAACAUUAGUUAAAUUUUUUACAGGUCAAACCUAUUUCUAUUCUCUUAAAAAUAUCUAUUACAAAUUUAGGCCUUCAACAUUAAGCAGGACAUAUCAUCAAACUUCAUGCCUCUCACUAACACUAAGUUGACCAUUGUCCUACUUAUAGCCUUGUAUACAUGUUUUAAAAUAAUUACAAGAAAUUUGAAGAUGUGCCUAUACUCUUUGUCAGGCACAAGAUGAUUAAUGAUCCGACAUAUUAUCUAAUUUCCCAUACUCAUUGACAGUUUCCUAAACUCUAAUACUCAUUGAUAUUUUGAUAAGUUUCUAUAAAGUUAAGCUCGAUUUGCAGUUAACUUUUCUUAAUAUGUUCUAUAUUUGUAAACUUAAACUGUUCAACUCAGAUCAAAACCAAAGGUCAUCAUUGGAUUGGGUAAAGCGUUUUGAAAUCAUUUGUGGGAUUGCUCGAGGUGUUUUAUAUCUUCACCAAGAUUCAAGGCUGAAAAUAAUUCAUAGAGAUCUAAAAGCCAGCAAUGUUCUCCUUGACGCUGCAAUGAAUCCCAAAAUCUCAGAUUUUGGUAUGGCUAGAAUAUUUGGAGAAGAUGAAAUCCAAGCAAGAACAAAAAGAGUGGUCGGAACAUAGUAUGUGUCACACACUUAUAUCACGAAAAUAUACAGAUGGAUAUGUAUUUUUAUGAUACUCUAACCAUUUUGUUUAAUUGCAGUGGAUAUAUGUCACCAGAAUAUGCAAUGGAAGGACGAUAUUCAACAAAAUCUGAUGUCUUCAGUUAUGGGGUCUUACUACUGGAGAUUAUUGCUGGCAAGAGAAACACACAUUGUGAAAUUGGAAGAGACUCCCCAAAUUUAAUUGGACAUGUAAGUUACAUAUAAUAAAAAGAGUAGCCUUAAAAUUGGCCAACAAUCUAAUGAUGCAUGACAUGACAUAUUUAUUUAAAAAUUGUGUUGUGCAUUUAUAGGUGUGGACACUAUGGACAGAAGAAAGAGCCUUGGAUAUUGUUGAUCCAGCACUAAACCAGUCUUAUCCUCUUGAUAUAGUUCUGAGAUGCAUUCAAAUUGGACUUUUGUGUGUGCAAGAAAAUGCAAUUAAUAGACCAUCAAUGUUAGAAAUUGUUUUCAUGCUAUGCAAUGAAACACCUCUCUGCCCACCUCAAAAACCAGCAUUUUAUUCAAUGGCAACCAUGAAUUGCAAGAACCAUCAACAUCAGGAUCUUCAAUAAAUGAAGUAACAGAAACUACUAUCAGUGCUCGCUAAAAGAUACCUUAAUCAAAUAUGUAAAUUUUUGGUUUAUACUUUCACCUUGAAAUUUAGUUUGUAGACAUUUCUAGAGGUUCUUGAGAAACAAGUAAGUCACGUUAUGGUAUUGCAAAAGAGUGGUGAUAUUUGAACAACUAUUUGAUACAACUUUUGUGACAAUUUCUUUUUUUUCUCUUUUCAUUAGUUAAAAACAAUGGAGAGAGAAAAAGAAGAGAGAGAAUAAGAGUAUAAUGUGAGUNAACCCUAAUUUAAUGUCUUUAGUCAUUUUUUACAUAUUUUAAUUUUAUUUUGGGUUGUUUCAUUUAAUAAUAGGGUUUAAAACUACAUGUUCAUGAAAUUGUGCAUAAAAAAUAGCGAAAAAUAUGUAUUCAAUUUUUUAUUAUAUUAAAAUAGACCCAUAAUACAAUUUUUUGCGAAGUGUGUUAGAUUAUUAUUAUUUUUGCUAGAUUAUUAGAACUAAAAACAAUAUUGAGGGAGUAAAGUGUAGAUUUUAUUAUAAGAGGGGAGAGGAAUGUAAUUCAAGCUUGGGGAGGGGUGUGUAAAAUUUUCUGAUAUGUUUUGAAUAAGAGGGGAGGGGAUUGUGUAUUUUAUGAUAAGAGGGGAGGGGGGGUGUAAUUUACUCUUAUAAUUUUCACCUCUCAAGAAAAAAAGUUUAUAAUUUACAGUUAAUUUUCACCUUUUUUUUUUUUUUGAAGGAAGUUAAUUUUCACUUAACUCGGUUAAAGAAUACUCCCUCCGUUCCUUUUUAAGUGUCACUUUUGGAGAAAAUUUUUGUUCCUAUUUAAUUGUAAUUUUCAAAGUUCAAUGCAACAUUAAAUGUUGUUUUAACAAUAUUCUCUUUAGUUAUUUAUAGCGGAGAGAGAAAUAUAUGAAAUGAGAUAUUGAAUUAAUAAGGUCAUUAUAGUAAAAGUAUAGCUUAUUGCAUCAAAAGUAGUAUCAAAUGUUUAUUGUCUUGGUUUGUGUAAAAUGUCAAAAUGUGACAAUUAAAAAGUAAAAUGUCAAAAUAUGACAAUUAAAAAGGAACGGAGGUAGUAAUUAUUAACAAAAAAAUUAAUUGCAAAAAUACUCAUACCUUCUCAGUCGAGAUCCAAGCUGUGUUGUGUUUAGUGUUCCCUCCACUCUCUUUUUUGUUGGCGAAUCUUCAUUAGAAUUUCCAAUGUUCAAGUACGGGUUGCAACCAAGUGGAACACCAUGUUCUCUCGACACGACGCGUGCUGCAAGAUAGAGAAUACGCCGGCGACUGAUACUUCCCUCGCCGCACAUUUCCUUCACAAAGAACGAAGCACCGGUAAUCACAGCUUGACAGGUUAGUGUUUGUAGUUCGUUCAAUCGGCAAGGGUAUUAUGGUAAACUACAACUAUAUAACGGGACAAACGGUCAUUUCGGUAGCUAAAUGUGUAAGAAUAACCAAAAUAGUCUCAUUCAAAUAGUCCUUCAAUACUCACAUUAACUCUUUAUAUAGGACCUAUAAAGCACGGACACUCCUUACCUUAGACGUGUCCCGGUGUAGGACAUGUGUCGUGUACUCGUGUUCGACACCGACACCUAUAAUUACACUAAAUUAUGUGACUUUUUCAAUUAUUAAUGGUGUCGGCGUGUCUGGAUCCGUGUUUGUAUCCGUACUUUAUAGUAUAGGACUGAAAUGACAAUGAGUAAGUAGUUUUACGGACCGAUAAAACAAUAAGUAAGUAUAUUGAAGGACUAAUAUGACAAUAUUAACCAGUUAUUUUAAUCUCAAGACUAUUUUGACUAAGGAAGUGUGCAAUUUAAGAUUAUAUUAAAAUUUUGAUACGUUGAGAGACUACUAUGGCUACUUGUUACAUAUUCGGGGAUUGGUCGCUUGUAGUGCUAAUCAUGAUAAACAAUUAUAGCAAAAUAUAAAUGAAAGUUAGUUUGUUUUAGUAUAUGUUAUAAGCUGUUUUAUUAAGCUAUGGUUGAAAACUUAUAAAAGUAAGACUAAAAAAGCUUAUGAAAUAUAGACCCUGCUCGAUUACCGAUUUCAUUUUGCUAUCCGUUUUGGUAAGGCCUUGAAUUUGCCAGGAAAUUUACCAUCGCUUAUACAUGUCACUGUAACGACGGACCAUGAGUCCAUGACCCAUUGAGGUACGUAGCUAACUGCCAAGCUCAACUUGCAUGCAUAAAAAGCAUCCUUUAUUAGAUACUUACGGGUCAAUCUUUGUGUCUGUGUAGUCAAAUACUGCUCACUUGCAUGCAUAAAAAGCGUCCUUGUUUAUGCUUCUUAAUUAGCAUGUACUAUUUGGAAAUCAAAAUUACCAACGUGAAAACCCAUGUUUGAUCAGAAACCAUAUAAUUAUUUACCUUCUUAUGAACACAUGUUUAUUGUCUUACCACCGUGUUCUCAAACACACAAUUAAUCAUGUUGAGUUGUAUUCAAUUUAAAUGAGAAUCAUCGACCCAAUAAUUUUUUCAUAAUGAGGCCUAAAAAAAUUAUAAUAUAUCAUAUAUUUUUUUGUCUACAGCCCUUUUAUUUAUAAACUAUAAUAAAAAUUAUUAAUCUUUUGUUGAUAGACCUAAAACGAGGAUUUUAGUUUCCUAUCUACUUACCUGUGGUUACUUUUCUUCAUUGAUUUUAUUUUCCCACUUUCUCAUGUGUCAGUGUCACUGACCCAUUGUGUGGAAAAUAUAACAAAGCAUCAUCAUGUCCUGUUGAGCAGGGGUACAAUUUUGUUUCAGUUAGAAUAGUUCAAUUAUCUCUUCAUGAAAUGCAAGAGGGGUAUGAUAGAAAAACUCAAUGGACUCUGCUAAAAAUCUUCUCUACCUUAGCACAGUCGAAAAUCAUAAAAACAAAUUGUUAGUGUUAGAUUACUCUUUGAUUCUACUAUGUCUCACCUUAUCUUUUUGCCCUUGUUCUUCUGAUACCAUAACUAUUCACAAACCCAUAAGAGAUGGUGAACUUCUCAUUUCUAAAUCUAAAACAUUUGCUCUUGGAUUCUUCACUCCAGGAAAGUCCACCUCUCGCUAUGUUGGAAUCUGGUACAACAAUUUGCCGAUCCAAACUGUUGUUUGGGUUGCAAAUAGAGAUGCUCCCAUCAAUGACACUUCUGGAAUUCUAUCAAUCAACCAAAAUGGGAAUCUAGAACUCCACCACAACCUUAGCACCAUUCCCAUUUGGUCUACCAAUGUUUCAUUAACACAGUCACAAAGAAAUAACACCAAUGUUAUAGCUCAACUAUUGGAUAUAGGAAACCUUGUUCUGAGGUUAAACGACACCGAAACUGCCAUCUGGGAAAGCUUUGAUCAUCCCACAGACACAAUGCUUCCGUAUCAAAAGAUUGGUUUUGAUAGAAAAAUUAAUCAAAGUUGGGUCCUUCAAUCCUGGAAGACAGAUGAUGACCCUGGAAAAGGUGCGUUCACGGUGAAAUUCAGCACCAUUGGCAAACCACAAUUGUUUAUGUACAACCAUGAUCGUCCUUGGUGGCGUGGUGGACAUUGGAAUGGAGCAAUAUUAGUAGGCCUACCUCAUAUGAUAGGAGAUAUGGCAGUUCGUAAUGUUUCUUGGGUUGAAGAUGACAACUAUGUAUCACUCUCAUAUAACAUGUUUAAUAAGUCUGUCAUUACAAGGAUAGUGGUUCAGCAAUCUGGUUUCUUUCAAACAUUCAUGUGGGACAGUCAAGAGAGUCAAUGGAGCCGGUACUGGUCUGAACCAACAGACCAAUGUGCUAACUACGGAACAUGUGGACCAAACAGUAAUUGUGACCCUUUGAACUUUGAGAGCUUUAAGUGUACUUGUUUACUUGGUUUUGAACCAAAAUUUCCACGUGAUUGGUAUGAGAGUAGAGAUGGGUUGGGAGGAUGUGUAAGAAAAAGAGGUGCAUCUGUUUGUGGGAAUGGAGAAGGGUUUAACAAAGUUUUAAGGGUGAAAGUUCCUGAUAUAUCUGGGGCAGUUGCCAUAGAUGGUUUGACUUUGGAAGAAUGUGAGAAAGAUUGCUUGAGAAACUGUUCUUGUAAUGCCUAUGCAGUUGCUGAUGUGAGGAAUGGUGGUAGUGGAUGUUUGACGUGGCAUGGGAAUUUAAUGGACAUUCAAAAACUUAGUAAUCAGGGCCAAGAUUUAUUUUUGCGCGUCGAGAAAGUUGAACUUGGUAAGAUAUUCCCUCCUACUGUUUUUUUUUUUUUUUGUUUAUAAAUUUGACACCACUUUUAAGUGUAGUUUAAACUUCUUUGGACUUGUUUUUUCUUAUCAGCUAAUUACAACAAAAAAAGCAAAGGAGUCCUUGAUAAAAAGAGGUUAGCUGCAAUUCUUGUAGCUUCUAUAGUUGCAAUUGUCAUCCUCCUCUUCUGUGUGAAUUACAUGUGGAAGAAAAAGAGAAAGGGNCCAAGAUUCAAGGCUGAAAAUAAUUCAUAGAGAUCUAAAAGCCAGCAAUGUUCUCCUUGACGCUGCAAUGAAUCCCAAAAUCUCAGAUUUUGGUAUGGCUAGAAUAUUUGGAGAAGAUGAAAUCCAAGCAAGAACAAAAAGAGUGGUCGGAACAUAGUAUGUGUCACACACUUAUAUCACGAAAAUAUACAGAUGGAUAUGUAUUUUUAUGAUACUCUAACCAUUUUGUUUAAUUGCAGUGGAUAUAUGUCACCAGAAUAUGCAAUGGAAGGACGAUAUUCAACAAAAUCUGAUGUCUUCAGUUAUGGGGUCUUACUACUGGAGAUUAUUGCUGGCAAGAGAAACACACAUUGUGAAAUUGGAAGAGACUCCCCAAAUUUAAUUGGACAUGUAAGUUACAUAUAAUAAAAAGAGUAGCCUUAAAAUUGGCCAACAAUCUAAUGAUGCAUGACAUGACAUAUUUAUUUAAAAAUUGUGUUGUGCAUUUAUAGGUGUGGACACUAUGGACAGAAGAAAGAGCCUUGGAUAUUGUUGAUCCAGCACUAAACCAGUCUUAUCCUCUUGAUAUAGUUCUGAGAUGCAUUCAAAUUGGACUUUUGUGUGUGCAAGAAAAUGCAAUUAAUAGACCAUCAAUGUUAGAAAUUGUUUUCAUGCUAUGCAAUGAAACACCUCUCUGCCCACCUCAAAAACCAGCAUUUUAUUCAAUGGCAACCAUGAAUUGCAAGAACCAUCAACAUCAGGAUCUUCAAUAAAUGAAGUAACAGAAACUACUAUCAGUGCUCGCUAAAAGAUACCUUAAUCAAAUAUGUAAAUUUUUGGUUUAUACUUUCACCUUGAAAUUUAGUUUGUAGACAUUUCUAGAGGUUCUUGAGAAACAAGUAAGUCACGUUAUGGUAUUGCAAAAGAGUGGUGAUAUUUGAACAACUAUUUGAUACAACUUUUGUGACAAUUUCUUUUUUUUCUCUUUUCAUUAGUUAAAAACAAUGGAGAGAGAAAAAGAAGAGAGAGAAUAAGAGUAUAAUGUGAGUAUGAGAGAGAAAAUUAUCAUAAAGUGGUUGUAUAAAUAUCAUUUCUCACUGUAAAAUGAAUAAUUUGAGUAUGUCUCCAUUUCAAUAAGCUUAUCGGUUAGAAGUAAUAUACAGAAAUAUAGCUGUUCAAUAGUAGUAGAGAUAGGUACAACAACUAGCGUAAACAAACGAUCGUGUUUCAUUGUCUUGGGAAAUUCUAAAGGUAAUUAAUUACUCAUAGUGAAUCCACUUAAAAAAAUCAAAUGGUUCAAUCGUUGUCAUUCAAUAUUAAAAACUAAUUAAUAAAUACUUCUAUUGCAAAUAUAGUCAUUAUAAAAAAAAACAAACUAAAAAUUAUAUGGCUUAAUUGCACUUUUUGCACCCUAUCUUUUCAAAAGUUGCGAUUUUGGCCCUCUAACUAAUUAAAAUACAAAACAGCCCCCUAUUUAUUGAAUCUUUGGCAGUUUUGGCCCCCAAAGUCACUUUUAACUUAGUCUGCGCUGACGUGGCACCCAUAUCCCUUAAGUGAGGUGCCACGUGUCGACCAUUGUGGGUGCCACGUCAGCGAAGACUAAGUCAAACGUGGUCUUGGAGACCAAAACUGCAAAAGAUUCAAUACAUAUGGGUUGUUUUGUAUUUUAAUUAGUUAGGGGUGAAAAUCGCAACUUUUGGAAAGAUAGGGGGCCAAAAGUGCAAUUAAGCCAAAUUAUAUUUCACAUAGGAAAGAGUUUAAAUAUAAACCAACCGCGUAAAUAUGUUUUACACUGUCGUUCAAAAAGAAACCAUCGUAUUGUCAUGUAUGUAUAUUUAUAACCAAUUUUUCAAAAAUAAGUUAAAUAUAUUUUCCGUCCAGACAAAAAAGAAUUGCACGGAAAUUUGGACCCUACUCUUAAUUCAACAUAUAUUUUGAUUGACUUUUUUUGCUAACAUGUUUAAAAUAUUAUAAAAAGUUCCUAUAAAAAUAUGAGCUUAAAAAUUGAUUUCUAGGUCGAGAUUUGUAUUACUUUUAUUAUGAAUUUUUGACGUUUCAUAAUCAUAUUUAAUUCAUUUGAUGUUAAAAAAAUUUAGAUGAAUAUUUUAUAAUACACAUCCAAAAAAAAAAUUCAAAAAUUUAGUUUUUGAAAAAAUAAAACUGCAAGUAGGAGUACUCAUGAACAUAGCUCGAUUGGUAAGAAUAUUGCAUAAUAUAUACAAGAGUCGGAGUUCAAAGCUCUAACACCUUACUUAUUCACCUUAUAAGAGAAUUUCUAGCCACCAAACUAUUUAAAAAAAAAAAAAAAACUGCUAGAAAAUUUGUUUAGAAAUGAAAAUGUGCCGCAUGUAAAAAUCUUAAAACAAAAACAUAUGGGUCAAUGCUAAUCUAAACAUGUUUAGAAUAUAUGAUAGGGUCUCGCUAACUAGAGCAUUUGUUAAAGAUACAAAAAUAGAAAUAAUAAGUAAAAAAAUUUUUUUUUUAAGUUUUAAUAUAUUGAAUCCACUAUUUUCAAGAUAAAUUUUUUUCUUUAAACUUCUUAACAAAUGCGCACUUGUUAGCAUUUGACAAUUUAUGAAGAAGAAAAAUGAAAACUUGACAAAUUCGAUGGAAAAAUUUUAUAUUUAACUCUUAAACCCCAAUCUAAAAUCCUCUAAAAAAAUCCCAAUAUAAAAUGGUUUAUAGUUUUUUUUUUACCAUGUAUACUUUUUUUUGAAGAAUUUCACUUAACUCUGAAAAAAUAAUUAUUAACAAAAUUAUAAUUGCAAAAACACUCAUACCUUCUAAGUCAACAAUAUCCAAGAGUGUUCUCUCCACUCUCGCUUCUGUUGGUUGAAUCAUCAUUAGAACUUCUCCAUGUAUCGUACCUCAAGCCAUUCCCAAUGUUCAGGUACGGGUUGCAACCAAGUGGAACACCAUGUUCUCUGGACACGACGCGUGUGCUGCAAGACAGAGAAUACGCCGGCGACUGAUACUUCCCUCGCCGCACAUUUCCUUCACAAAGAACGAAGCACCGCUGGUAAUCACAGUUUCACAAGUUAGUGUUUGCACAAGGGUAAUAUGGUAAACUUCAAAUAAAUAAUAUAUAUUUAAUUUUAGAGCUUGUAUAAAACAGCUUAUGCACAUUGCUAACUGUAGUCUGCAACGACAGACCAUGACCCAUAUUGAGGUACAUUGCUAACUGCCAAGCUUAACAUGCAUGCAUAAAAAGCCUCCUUUAUUAUUAGAUUAGAUACUUACGGGUCAAAUGCAUGCAUCAAAAGCGUCCUUGUUUAUGCUUCUUAGCAUGUAGUACUAUUUUGGAAAUCAAAAUUACCAACAUGAAAACUCAUGUUUGACCAGAAACAAUAGUAAUUAUUUACCUUCUUAUGAACACAUGUUUAUUGUCUUACCACCGUGUUGAGUUGUAUUCAAUUGAAAUGAGAAUCAUCGACCUAAUAAUUUUUCAUAAUGAGGCCUAAUACAAAUUUUAAUAUAUCAUAUAUUUUUUUGUCUACAGCCCUUUUAUUUAUAAACUAUAAUAAAAAUUAUUAAUCUUUUGUUGAUAGACCUAAAACGAGGAUUUUAGUUUCCUAUCUACUUACCUGUGGUUACUUUUCUUCAUUGAUUUUAUUUUCCCACUUUCUCAUGUGUCAGUGUCACUGACCCAUUGUGUGGAAAAUAUAACAAAGCAUCAUCAUGUCCUGUUGAGCAGGGGUACAAUUUUGUUUCAGUUAGAAUAGUUCAAUUAUCUCUUCAUGAAAUGCAAGAGGGGUAUGAUAGAAAAACUCAAUGGACUCUGCUAAAAAUCUUCUCUACCUUAGCACAGUCGAAAAUCAUAAAAACAAAUUGUUAGUGUUAGAUUACUCUUUGAUUCUACUAUGUCUCACCUUAUCUUUUUGCCCUUGUUCUUCUGAUACCAUAACUAUUCACAAACCCAUAAGAGAUGGUGAACUUCUCAUUUCUAAAUCUAAAACAUUUGCUCUUGGAUUCUUCACUCCAGGAAAGUCCACCUCUCGCUAUGUUGGAAUCUGGUACAACAAUUUGCCGAUCCAAACUGUUGUUUGGGUUGCAAAUAGAGAUGCUCCCAUCAAUGACACUUCUGGAAUUCUAUCAAUCAACCAAAAUGGGAAUCUAGAACUCCACCACAACCUUAGCACCAUUCCCAUUUGGUCUACCAAUGUUUCAUUAACACAGUCACAAAGAAAUAACACCAAUGUUAUAGCUCAACUAUUGGAUAUAGGAAACCUUGUUCUGAGGUUAAACGACACCGAAACUGCCAUCUGGGAAAGCUUUGAUCAUCCCACAGACACAAUGCUUCCGUAUCAAAAGAUUGGUUUUGAUAGAAAAAUUAAUCAAAGUUGGGUCCUUCAAUCCUGGAAGACAGAUGAUGACCCUGGAAAAGGUGCGUUCACGGUGAAAUUCAGCACCAUUGGCAAACCACAAUUGUUUAUGUACAACCAUGAUCGUCCUUGGUGGCGUGGUGGACAUUGGAAUGGAGCAAUAUUAGUAGGCCUACCUCAUAUGAUAGGAGAUAUGGCAGUUCGUAAUGUUUCUUGGGUUGAAGAUGACAACUAUGUAUCACUCUCAUAUAACAUGUUUAAUAAGUCUGUCAUUACAAGGAUAGUGGUUCAGCAAUCUGGUUUCUUUCAAACAUUCAUGUGGGACA